RNAcentral lists this ribosomal RNA (1117 nucleotides) under Cheilothela chloropus. RNAcentral describes it as "eukaryotic LSU rRNA". It matches the Rfam family "Eukaryotic large subunit ribosomal RNA", at positions 47 to 1134 of the family's 3401-position model. The record is from RNAcentral. Lineage: Eukaryota; Viridiplantae; Streptophyta; Bryopsida; Pseudoditrichales; Ditrichaceae.
UAAGCGGAGGAGAAGAAACUAACCAGGAUUUCCCUAGUAAUGGCGAACGAACCGGAAAGAGCCCAGCUUGAAAAUUCCGCCGCCUUCGGCGGCGGAACUUGUAGUCUGGAGACGCAUCCUCUGCGACGCACCGGGCCCAAGUUCCCUGGAAAGGGACGUCCGAGAGGGUGACAGCCCCGUCGAGCCCGGGCCGUGUUGCUCCACGAGGUGCGCUCGCCGAGUCGGGCUGUUUGGGAAUGCAGCCCUAAGUGGGUGGUAAAUUCCAUCCAAGGCUAAAUACUGGCAAGAGACCGAUAGCGAACAAGUACCGCGAGGGAAAGAUGAAAAGGACUUUGAAAAGAGAGUUAAAAAGUGCUUGAAAUUGCUGGGAGGGAAGCGAAUGGAAGCUGCGGGUGUGCCCCGGUUGGAUGUGGAACGGUUCCUUUCCAAAGGACUGGUCCGCCGCUCAACGCGGGGCACUGGUCAGCGUGGGCCAUCGUGCCGGGACAAAAGCAGGGUCUAGCUCCCUGCCCAUGCCGUCGCGGUGGCCGAGGAACGAAGCGCGCGGGAGUUUCCAACUCCCGUGGGKYCUUACCCAACUGCGCGCUCGAGACGCUGGCGUAUUGAGCUCUUCAUCCGACCCGUCUUGAAACACGGACCAAGGAGUCUAACAUGUAUGCGAGCCGGUGGGCGGCAAACCCAUUGAGGCGCAAGGAAACUGACAGGUGGGACCCCCCCUAACCAAGGGGAGCACCAUCGACCGACCCUGAUCUUCUGUGAAAGGUUCGAGUGUGAGCAUACCUGUUGGGACCCGAAAGAUGGUGAACUAUGCCUGAGCAGGGCGAAGCCAGAGGAAACUCUGGUGGAGGCUCGUAGCGAUACUGACGUGCAAAUCGUUCGUCAGACUUGGGUAUAGGGGCGAAAGACUAAUCGAACCAUCUAGUAGCUGGUUCCCUCCGAAGUUUCCCUCAGGAUAGCUGGAGCUCACUCCGACGAAAGAGAGUUUUAUCAGGUAAAGCGAAUGAUUAGAGGCAUCGGGGGUGUAACACCCUCGACCUAUUCUCAAACUUUAAAUAGGUAAGCCGCCGGGGUUGCUUCGUUGAACCCCGGCACAGAAUCAGAGCUCCAAGUGGGCCAU